CAAGUCGAACGAAUCCCAUGGGGGGUAACUCUGUGGGGGAAGUGGCGAAAGGGGCAGUAAGGCAUGGGUAACCUACCCCGGGGAUCGGGAUAGCCAUUCUAACGAGUGGGUAAUACCGGGCGAUGCGACGAGGGGGCAUCUCUUUGUCGUGAAAUGAGUUUCGCCUCGGGAGGGGCUCAUGUAGUAUUAGCUUGUUGGUGAGGUAACGGCUCACCAAGGCCAAGAUGCUUAGCGGGUGUGAGAGCACGACCCGCGCCACUGGCACUGAGACACUGGCCAGACUCCUACGGGAGGCUGCAGUCGAGGAUCUUCGGCAAUGGGCGCAAGCCUGACCGAGCGACGCCGCGUGUGCGAUGAAGGCCUUCGGGUUGUAAAGCACUGUCGAGGGGGAGGAAAGCCCGCAAGGGUCUGACCUAUCCCUGGAGGAAGCACGGGCUAAGUUCGUGCCAGCAGCCGCGGUAAGACGAACCGUGCGAACGUUGUUCGGAUUCACUGGGCUUAAAGGGCGCGUAGGCGGGCGGUCAAGUCGGGGGUGAAAUCUUUCAGCUUAACUGGAAAAGUGCCUCCGAUACUGAUCGCCUCGAGGGAGGUAGGGGCAUGUGGAACUUCCGGUGGAGCGGUGAAAUGCGUAGAUAUCGGAAGGAACGCCGGUGGCGAAAGCGACGUGCUGGACCUCUUCUGACGCUGAGGCGCGAAAGCUAGGGGAGCAAACGGGAUUAGAUACCCCGGUAGUCCUAGCCCUAAACGAUGGGGUACUAGAUUGUGGACUUAACAUGGGUUCACAGUCGA
RNAcentral lists this ribosomal RNA (789 nucleotides) under uncultured Planctomycetota bacterium. RNAcentral's name for it is "bacterial SSU rRNA". It matches the Rfam family "Bacterial small subunit ribosomal RNA", at positions 58 to 849 of the family's 1533-position model. The record is from RNAcentral. Lineage: Bacteria; Pseudomonadati; Planctomycetota.